This 446-nucleotide ribosomal RNA is filed under the name uncultured bacterium. RNAcentral's name for it is "partial 16S ribosomal RNA". It matches the Rfam family "Bacterial small subunit ribosomal RNA", at positions 338 to 795 of the family's 1533-position model. The record is from RNAcentral.
CCUACGGGUGGCAGCAGUCGAGAAUCAUUCACAAUGGGGGAAACCCUGAUGGUGCGACGCCGCGUGGGGGAAUGAAGGUCUUCGGAUUGUAAACCCCUGUCAUGUGGGAGCAAAUUAAAAAGAUAGUACCACAAGAGGAAGAGACGGCUAACUCUGUGCCAGCAGCCGCGGUAAUACAGAGGUCUCAAGCGUUGUUCGGAAUCACUGGGCGUAAGGCGUGCGUAGGCUGUUUCGUAAGUCGUGUGUGAAAGGCGCGGGCUCAACCCGCGGACGGCACAUGAUACUGCGAGACUAGAGUAAUGGAGGGGGAACCGGAAUUCUCGGUGUAGCAGUGAAAUGCGUAGAUAUCGAGAGGAACACUCGUGGCGAAGGCGGGUUCCUGGACAUUAACUGACGCUGAGGCACGAAGGCCAGGGGAGCGAAAGGGAUUGGAUACCCCAGUAGUC